CAGCAGCCGCGGUAAUACGGAGGAUCCAGGCGUUAUCCGGAAUCAUUGGGUUUAAAGGGUCCGUAGGCGGUUUAGUAAGUCAGUGGUGAAAGCCCAUCGCUCAACGGUGGAACGGCCAUUGAUACUGCUAAACUUGAAUUAUUAGGAAGUAACUAGAAUAUGUAGUGUAGCGGUGAAAUGCUUAGAGAUUACAUGGAAUACCAAUUGCGAAGGCAGGUUACUACUAAUGGAUUGACGCUGAUGGACGAAAGCGUGGGUAGCGAACAGGAUUAGAUACCCUGGUAGUCUACGCCGUAAUCGAUGGAUACUAGCUGUUGGGAGCAAUUUCAGUGGCUAAGCGAAAGUGAUAAGUAUCCCACCUAGGGAGUACGUUCGCAGGAAUGAAACUCAAAGGAAUUGACGG
RNAcentral lists this ribosomal RNA (403 nucleotides) under uncultured bacterium. Its description in RNAcentral is "bacterial SSU rRNA". It matches the Rfam family "Bacterial small subunit ribosomal RNA", at positions 509 to 916 of the family's 1533-position model. The record is from RNAcentral.